GAAGCAAGAACUUUAUAAUAAAAUAUCAAGUAUAAAGAACACAAUCUAAAGGAUUCCAUUCAAAUCUUAAAUAAACUGAUUUGCAUCAGCAGCUCCAUGCUCCAGUGCUCUGGGAGAGUUUAUAGUCCUGACAGUUGAACUCUGGAUGACUGACAGCUGUCCUUCAUCACAACAGAAGACACAGAAAUCCUCCUCAUCAAAAACAUGACUUUGAUCUGCGUCCUCAUCUGGACUCUCCUCUGCUUCACUCAGGGAUCUGAUGGACAAAAUAUUGUUGUGACUCAAUCAGCAGCCAAAUCAGUGCAGCUUGGUCAGACUGUCACUAUUGACUGUAAGGCCAGUAGACAAGUAGCUCUCUGUCGUUAUCCAUCUGGUUACUGUCUGUCCUGGUACCAUCAGAAACCCGGAGAAGCUCCUAAAGCUCUGAUCUACCGGACAUCAGACAGAUUUUCAGGAAUCUCCUCCAGAUUCAGGGGAAGUGGAGCAGGAAAUGGAUUAGACUUCACUCUGACCAUCAGUGGAGUUCAGGCUGAAGAUGCAGGAGUUUAUUACUGUCAGAGUUACCACAGUGGCCCCGUGUUCACACAGUGAAAAAUCAUCGUACAAAAACCUCCCUCAGUCUGACUGAACAGAAACUGAACUUUGUUCUGCAGCUGGAAUCUGCAUCAGACACUGAUACAGUUCACUGAACACAUCAGGCCAGAAAUUAUAUUUCCAUUAAACACAAGAACACAUUCAGUUAUGAGAUUAAGAAAUUAUA
This is a non-coding RNA of Xiphophorus hellerii (green swordtail), 760 nucleotides long. The record is from the annotation of a RefSeq genome assembly. NCBI's taxonomy places the organism in Eukaryota, Metazoa, Chordata, Actinopteri, Cyprinodontiformes, Poeciliidae.